This 253-nucleotide ribosomal RNA is filed under the name uncultured bacterium. RNAcentral describes it as "partial 16S ribosomal RNA". It matches the Rfam family "Bacterial small subunit ribosomal RNA", at positions 524 to 776 of the family's 1533-position model. The record is from RNAcentral.
UACAGAGGGUGCGAGCGUUAAUCGGAAUUACUGGGCGUAAAGCGCGCGUAGGCGGCUUUGUAAGUCGGGUGUGAAAGCCCCGGGCUCAACCUGGGAAUUGCGUUCGAGACUGCAUAGCUAGGAUGCGGAAGAGGGAAGUGGAAUUUCCGGUGUAGCGGUGAAAUGCGUAGAUAUCGGGAGGAACACCAGUGGCGAAGGCGACUUCCUGGCCUGUUCUUGACGCUGAGGCGCGAAAGCUAGGGUAGCAAACGGG